GAUAAACGCUAGCGGGAGGCCUAACACAUGCAAGCCGAGCGGUAUUUGUUCUUCGGAACAGAGAGAGCGGCGCACGGGUGCGGAACACGUGUGCAACCUGCCUUUAUCUGGGGGAUAGCCUUUCGAAAGGAAGAUUAAUACCCCAUAAUAUAUUGAGUGGCAUCACUUGAUAUUGAAAACUCCGGUGGAUAGAGAUGGGCACGCGCAAGAUUAGAUAGUUGGUGAGGUAACGGCUCACCAAGUCAAUGAUCUUUAGGGGGCCUGAGAGGGUGAUCCCCCACACUGGUACUGAGACACGGACCAGACUCCUACGGGAGGCAGCAGUGAGGAAUAUUGGACAAUGGGUUAGCGCCUGAUCCAGCCAUCCCGCGUGAAGGACGACGGCCCUAUGGGUUGUAAACUUCUUUUGUAUAGGGAUAAACCUACUCUCGUGAGAGUAGCUGAAGGUACUAUACGAAUAAGCACCGGCUAACUCCGUG
RNAcentral lists this ribosomal RNA (479 nucleotides) under uncultured bacterium. RNAcentral's name for it is "partial 16S ribosomal RNA". It matches the Rfam family "Bacterial small subunit ribosomal RNA", at positions 28 to 507 of the family's 1533-position model. The record is from RNAcentral.